RNAcentral lists this ribosomal RNA (253 nucleotides) under uncultured bacterium. RNAcentral describes it as "partial 16S ribosomal RNA". It matches the Rfam family "Bacterial small subunit ribosomal RNA", at positions 524 to 776 of the family's 1533-position model. The record is from RNAcentral.
UACAGAGGUGGCAAGCGUUGUUCGGAAUUACUGGGCGUAAAGGGCGCGUAGGCGGCCCACUAAGUCAGACGUGAAAUCCCCCGGCUUAACCUGGGAACUGCGUCUGAUACUGGAGGGCUUGAGUAUGGGAGAGGGAUGUAGAAUUCCAGGUGUAGCGGUGAAAUGCGUAGAUAUCUGGAGGAAUACCGGUGGCGAAGGCGGCAUCCUGGACCAUUACUGACGCUGAGGCGCGAAAGCCAGGGGAGCGAACGGG